UCUCUCUCGGGUUUACACGUCUCCUGC
This 27-nucleotide non-coding RNA is filed under the name Mus musculus (house mouse). Lineage: Eukaryota; Metazoa; Chordata; Mammalia; Rodentia; Muridae. The record is from RNAcentral.